Molecule: non-coding RNA, 103 nt
Organism: Cucurbita pepo subsp. pepo (vegetable marrow)
Lineage: Eukaryota; Viridiplantae; Streptophyta; Magnoliopsida; Cucurbitales; Cucurbitaceae
Source: RefSeq, a predicted model, not a curated record
AAACGUCGAACGCUUUGAAUGGUAAUAGAGUUAGACAAUCUGCCUCUGCCCCUAUUGAAACGUCUUAGUCGGGUAGCAUGUACUCUGAGUUGAUACCCACUGC